This 85-nucleotide transfer RNA is filed under the name Felis catus (domestic cat). It matches the Rfam family "tRNA". Rfam says of the family: Transfer RNA (tRNA) molecules are approximately 80 nucleotides in length. Their secondary structure includes four short double-helical elements and three loops (D, anti-codon, and T loops). Further hydrogen bonds mediate the characteristic L-shaped molecular structure. tRNAs have two regions of fundamental functional importance: the anti-codon, which is responsible for specific mRNA codon recognition, and the 3' end, to which the tRNAs corresponding amino acid is attached (by aminoacyl-tRNA synthetases). tRNAs cope with the degeneracy of the genetic code in two manners: having more than one tRNA (with a specific anti-codon) for a particular amino acid; and 'wobble' base-pairing, i.e. permitting non-standard base-pairing at the 3rd anti-codon position. Lineage: Eukaryota; Metazoa; Chordata; Mammalia; Carnivora; Felidae. The record is from Rfam by way of RNAcentral.
GCCUGGGUGGCUCAGUUGGUUAAGCGUCCGACUUCAACUCGGGUCAUGAUCUCGCGGUGUGUGAGUUUGAGCCCCACGUCGGGCU